UUAGAUACCCUAGUAGUCCACGCCGUAAACGAUGAGUGCUAGACGUCGGGGCCCUCAGGGCUUCGGUGUCGCAGCUAACGCGUUAAGCACUCCGCCUGGGGAGUACGGCCGCAAGGUUAAAACUCAAAGGAAUUGACGGGGGCCCGCACAAGCGGUGGAGCAUGUGGUUUAACUCGAAGCAACGCGCAGAACCUUACCAGCCCUUGACAUGGGCGUCGCGGGUGGAGAGAUCCACCUUUCGGUUCGGCCGGACGCCGCACAGGUGCUGCAUAGCUGUCGUCAGCUCGUGUCGUGAGAUGUUGGGUUAAGUCCCGCAACGAGCGCAACCCCCAUCUUCAGUUGCCAUCAGGUAGAGCUGGGCACUCUGGGGAAACCGCCGGUGACAAGCCGGAGGAAGGCGGGGAUGACGUCAAGUCCUCAUGGCCCUUAUGGGCUGGGCUACACACGUGCUACAAUGGUGGUGACAGUGGGCAGCGAGAUAGCGAGAUCGAGCCAAUCUCCAAAAGCCAUCUCAGUUCGGAUCGCACUCUGCAACUCGGGUGCGUGAAGUUGGAAUCGCUAGUAAUCGCGGAUCAGCACGCCGCGGUGAAUACGUUCCCGGGCCUUGUACACACCGCCCGUCACACCAUGGGAGUUGGUUUUACCCGAAGCCGGUGGGCUAACUUCGCAAGAAGAGGCAGCCGACCACGGUCAGGUCAGCGACUGGGGUG
This 710-nucleotide ribosomal RNA is filed under the name uncultured bacterium. RNAcentral's name for it is "bacterial SSU rRNA". It matches the Rfam family "Bacterial small subunit ribosomal RNA", at positions 778 to 1482 of the family's 1533-position model. The record is from RNAcentral.